RNAcentral lists this ribosomal RNA (80 nucleotides) under Pyropia katadae. RNAcentral's name for it is "partial 5.8S ribosomal RNA". The stretch from base 31 to 80 matches the Rfam family "5.8S ribosomal RNA", at positions 1 to 50 of the family's 154-position model. From Rfam's summary of the family: 5.8S ribosomal RNA (5.8S rRNA) is a component of the large subunit of the eukaryotic ribosome. The record is from RNAcentral. Lineage: Eukaryota; Rhodophyta; Bangiophyceae; Bangiales; Bangiaceae.
ACUGUCUCAGUACAAUAAUAAAAAAGAUACAACUCUUAGCGGUGGAUAUCUCGGUUCUCGCAUCGAUGAAGAACGCCACA